ACCCUAAAAUCUGUCCACCCUAAUAUCCAUAAGGAUACAUAGCCCAAAACACAACUAUCACACAUUUGACAGUUUAUGCCCCUUUAUUCAAUUAACCUCUUUAAGUCACCAAAUUAAUUCUCAAUUAAUAUAUGACUUAUAUCAAUCAAAUUAUAUUAUUAUUCCUUUAAUAUAUUACUCUCAUAAUAUAUUAACAAUAAUAUAUCUUCUCUCUUUACAAAUCAUCCUGUCAAGUUGCUAAGGUGAAGGCAACCCAAAAGGACCAUGCACAAUCGGGUCAAGUACUUACCAAAUAUAGUUAUAGCCUUAGACACUAAUCCAACAGUCUCCCACUUGGAUAAGUCUAGUAACUAUAUAUGUAAACACAAUCCGAUUAGCAAUCGUGGCUCUCAAAGACGCUGUCAAACUCUGAUCUUAUCAAUAUCCUAGCCUUUAGAUAAGGGAUCAUACAGUCCUCUGUUUAGAUAUUGUGUGAACAAUCUCAUAGAUCUUAUUGUUCAGCAGUUGGUUUCUCGAUCUCAGAUUCAUUUGACAUAGAACUUAAUUGAACACAUCAAUUCAGUCCUGACCAGGCCUGGCACAUAUGUCAAAUCAAAUCAUCGAGGGGCCCUGAUAUUGCUUUUACCAUCUUAGGAUAAAAGUAACAGAUAAACUUCGACUUAUAUGCAUUUACUAUUUACUAAUCAACUAUACACAACAAUGCGUUUUAUGACAUUAAUUUACUGAUGCGGUUUCGCAUUGUCAAUGCACAACCAAUUAAUAAACAAUAAACCAUAUAUCUUGGUUUUAAGACUAUAUGAUAUUAUCGUCUUGCGAUCACUUGCGUUACGUUCCAUAAAGUGAUUUCAGCAAGCGCGGGUUUAUUCCAAUGCUCAAAACUUGUUCAUAAGCACUCAUGAACGUUGCAGCAAUCCUUUGCUAUGUCUAAUACCUUUUAGACAAUCUACACACCAAUUCAUGACAAUCUUCAUUCAUACCUACUUCCAACAUAUGAACAAUUGUGGACCAUUCGAAUAAUUCGAUUAUUCUUAAUAACUCAAUUAUUUAGGAAGUCAAAACAUGCAAAGUGAAACAAUAGUUAAACAAUUAACAUAAGACAGUAACUUUAAUUAUAAAUAAUAAUCCUUUAUUUAAUCAUCAAAUGUCAAUUACAUUUAUCUAUUACAUGUUUCCAAACUAUCUAAUCUAAACUAAUAUCGUCUUUCAGCCCAAUGCUCCUAGCGUGCUGCAAAUGCUUAACCCUACUCAGUCCCUUCGUAAGCGGAUCUGCUGGGUUAUCCUCUGACGAUACCCUCUUUACUACGAGGUGUCCUUCUUCUACUCAAUGUCUAAUAAACUGAUAUUUUCUGUCGAUAUGCCGAGAUCUACCAUGAUCCCUCGGUUCCUUGGUCAAGGCAACUGCUCCUUCAUUAUCACAGAAAAUUUCCAUAGGCUCCUUUAUGGCAGGCACAACUCCAAGGUCACCAAUGAAGUUCUUCAACCACAUCGCCUCCUUUGACGCUUCGCUCGCUGCAAUGUACUCCGAUUCGCACGUUGAAUCAGCUAUGGUCUCUUUCUUGGAACUUUUCCAAGUCAAUGCCCCUCCAUUAAGGGUAAAAACCCAGCCCGACUGUGAACGAUAGUUGUCCCUGUCGGUCUGGAAACUUGUGUCACUAUACCCUCGCACCUUUAAUUCAUCACUCCCUCUGAGGAAUAAACACCAUUCCUUGGUCCUCCGAAGGUACUUAAGUAUAUUCUUGACCGCAAUCCAAUGAGCUCUGCCAGGGUUCCCUUGAUAUCUAUUGACCAUGCUCAAAGCAAAGGCCACAUCAGGGCGAGUACAAGUCAUAGCAUACAUGAUUAAGCCAACUGUGGAAGCGUAGGGUACUCGACUCAUCUCAGGUAUCUCGGCUUCUGUACUCGGACUUUGAGUCUUACUCAAUUUGGCAUUACUCUGUAUCGAUAGUUCUCCCUUCUUCGAGUUUUCCAUACUAAAACGUUUUAGUACCUUAUCUAAGUAAGUAUUCUGACUAAGUCCUAUUAGUCUCUUACUUCAUUCUCUCACUAUCCUUAUUCCCAAAAUAUAGGAAGCCUCUUCGAGGUCCUUCAUGGCGAAGCACUUCCCGAGCCAGGACUUAACCUCCUGCAAAGUCGGGACGUCAUUUCCUAUGAGCAGUAUGUCAUCGACAUACUAAACGAGGAAGCUAACUAUACUCCCACUGGCCUGGACAUAUACACAUGAUUCAUCUUCACUUCGUACAAAUCCAAACUCUUUGACUUUCUCAUCGAAGCAAAGAUUCCAUCUGCGAGAUGCUUGCUUAAGUCCAUACAUGGACAUCUCAAGAUUGCACACUCUAUUGGGAUGCUUCGGAUCGACAAAACCCUCUAGCUGAGCCAUGUAAACAUCCUCAGCCAACUUCCCAUUAAGGAAAGCAGUCUUGACAUCCAUCCACCAUAUCUCAUAAUCAUGAAAUGCAGCAAUGGCUAGCAUAACCCUAAUAGACUUUAUCUUAGCAACUGGUAAGAAGGUCUCAUCAUAGUCAACUCCGGGAGUUUGAGUAAAGCCCUUUGCAACCAGUCGUGCCUUAUACAUGUGCACAUUUCCAUCCAUGUCGAUCUUCUUCUUGAAGAUCCAUUUGCACCCAACCGUCCUACGUCCGGGCACAUUGUCAACCAAAUUCCAAACUUGGUUGUCAUACUUGGACUGAAUCUCGCUGUCCAUUGCCUCUUUCCAUUUCACAGACUUUGGGCCUGCCAUGGCUUCCUUAUAGCUAUUAGGUUCAUCUAAAUUUAUUAGUGUACCAUCACUAAUAUACGUGUUCCCUUCGGUAGUAAUAUGAAAGCCAUAAAACUGGGGUUGNGACUUGUCGUUGAGGUUGCUCUCAGCAGUCCUUAGGAGCCCUUGGAGUUUGCUUAGGGUGACCUCUUCCUUGUUCAUGUGGUAGGUCAUCCUAAAUUGGUUGUAUCAUGAGGGCAAGGAGUGAAGAACAAUGUCGAUAGCCAAAUCUUCCCCAAAGUUGACAUUCAACUUGCGAAGACGAUCAACAUACCUUUGCAUCUUUUUCAAGUGCAUGGUUAGAGACUCUCCACUUCCCAUUUUAGUAGUGAUCAUCUUCGUUAUGAUCUCAUAGCGCUCUUGCCUCGUGCUUUGGUGGAAUCUAUCUAUCAAGUCUAGAUGCAUCUCAUAAGGAUACAUGUCCUCAUUGGACUUUUGGAAUUCGGAGUUCAUCGUGGCUAGCAUGAUGCAAUGGACUUUCGUUGCAUCACGUUCAUGGGUCUCAAAGACAGCCAUUUCAUUGGGAGUAGCAAUUUAUGGAUUGAUCUUCUCGAGCUUCUCAUCGAGAACAUACUCUUUGUCCUCGUAACGCGCGAUCGUGCGAAUGUAUCUUAUCCAUUCGCUAAAGUUCGAUCCGUCAAAAGUCACUUUUUAACAAAGGCUUAUUAGCGUGAAUGAGCUAGCAGCAACGUUGUUCGUGUUAGACGUCUACAAAUAGAAAGGAAAAAAGUUUGAUUAGAGUUAAGUCCCCAAUUAACACCCAAAAUGAAAAAUUAGGGCUAGGACCCAACAACAUUAUUUACACAUUAGAAAAGGGAUGUCGUGAUCCAACAUGCAAAUAAUUUAUAGGUAAGUGAAUGACGAUUCACUAAUUCUUCACCAUGAAAAGCACAAGCUUAAGUGUUAAAUGUAUUGAGAAUUCCUAGAUUUCUUUGAGAUUCAUUGAACCUUUCAAUGACUAUUUAAAUCUCGAUAUGCCCCUCUAGUUUGUGACUGGGACGCCGAGGAUCACAAAGUGGGUGUGAAUAACCAUGCAAAUCUACAUGGUGCCUUCAUUGUUACAGUCAUCUAUUCGAUGUGCCGGUAAACCACACACGCUCCAUCGAACUAUGACAAACAAUGAAUCACCCUUUGCCACCUUUGCUUAGAACCAAUUAGUGUGUCGGUUAACCACACACACUCCACUAAUAUCUUAACAAGGGUGCAAAGUGCAAUUUCAUGGGAUUACAUCAAUUCACUUUUCCUAAAGUAACUAAGAUUGGGAAUUUUAUGAAAUACAUUUAGUUACUUUAUAUAGAUUCAUUAUACUUAUUACUGAGGAGAGGAUUGCCAUAUCCUACCCGUUCGGCUAAUGACCCUCCACCAGUCAAGCAAGCGAUGGGUGUGAGUGUACACCCAUUAAGUGCCAUUUUAUAGGUAGCAACCUUAUACCCCCACCUUAUAGACUGGNUAUAUAUAUAUAUUAAGCUUGUAAUAAUAUAAUAGUAUAGUGUUGAAUUUUAAACUUGUAAAAUUCUGGGGUUUGAAAUUUAAAUGAUUCAAAUUAAACUUUAAAUCACAAAACUUAAAUUUCAAAACUUGAGGACAAGUUUUAAACUUUUCAAAACAUAAGGAUCAAAUAGCAAAUUAUACAAAUCAACUAAUCAGAUUAUUUAAAUUUGAUAUAAUCAAUAUUACUUGCAAGACAAUUCACCAAUUUAAUUCAAAUAAUCAAUUAUUAUCAUAUAAGGAAAUUAUUAUUCAAUUAAAUGGUAAUUAUCUUUUGUUUGGUCAAGAAUAUACUCCAAUAUAUCAUAAAAUUUGGAUUUUAAUGGCCCAAAACAAUUAAGGCAAGUAUCCUCAAGCAAAACAACAAGAAAUCCUGAAAUCUACUCUUUCUGGCGCUAGAACUCGUCGAAUUCCUCUGUGAACUCGCCGAGUUCACCAGUCAGAAGCAUAAAAAAUCGAAUAUUUCAAGCAACAAGCAAUUAACCAAAGCAUCAAUUCAAUAGAAAUCAAGCAAAUCUCUGAUACCACUGAUGGGUUUGAGCCAUAAGAACUUUCCUAUGUGCAUAUGCAAACCCUAAUGCUUGGAUCUAGGUUUGUCUAAUUGAACAUGGAAUGUAUCCAAAGCUUACAAUUCUAAAUCUAGUGAAAACAAUUGAAUCUUAUCAUAUGAAAUCGGAUAUAGAAGAAUACCUUGAGUUGCUUGCUUGAGACUUCUUGUUCUUGGAGCUUAGAGUCACAAUUGUCACUCCUCUAAUGGCUUACAAACACCAACUAGCAAGAGGAUGAUCUUGAAAGAGAGAGGAUGUGAGAAAUCAGAUCUAGGGUUCUUCCUUGCAAGAGUAUUGCCGAUUUCCCUCACCCAAGAGGUUUAUUUAUACUAUGAGAUACUAGGGUUACACCCUUAACCCUAAUUGAAUAACUUAGGCCCUAAGCAAUCCAAAGAUCCUCCUAGAUAUGAGGCUUGGACGAUUUUAAGGUAUCCUAACCAAAAUCCGUCNCAAAACAUAACUAUCACACAUUUGACAGUUUAUGCCCCUUUAUUCAAUUAACCUCUUUAAGUUACCAAAUUAAUUCUCAAUUAAUAUAUGACUUAUAUCAAUCAAAUUAUAUUAUUAUUCCUUUAAUAUAUUACUCUCAUAAUAUAUUAACAAUAAUAUCUCUUCUCUCUUUACAAAUCAUCCUGUCAAGUUGCUAAGGUGAAGGCAACCCAAAAGGAC
RNAcentral lists this long non-coding RNA (5460 nucleotides) under Lactuca sativa (garden lettuce). RNAcentral describes it as "long non-coding RNA (LSAT_LNC006342)". The record is from RNAcentral. Lineage: Eukaryota; Viridiplantae; Streptophyta; Magnoliopsida; Asterales; Asteraceae.